CCUGGUGAUUAUGGUGGAGGUGGUAUACCCGUUCCCUUUCCGAACACGGAAGUCAAGCCCUCUCACGCCGAUGAUACUGCCCUAGGGUGGGAAAGUAGGUCAUCACCAGGC
RNAcentral lists this ribosomal RNA (111 nucleotides) under Dysgonamonadaceae bacterium. The record is from RNAcentral. Lineage: Bacteria; Pseudomonadati; Bacteroidota; Bacteroidia; Bacteroidales; Dysgonomonadaceae.